CUCUACUCCAUCCCCUUGUCCAUCCCUGAGACCACCCCCGCCGCCCUUGCGUCGACUUAGCAACCACCUCAUAGGCCCACCCACCUCGGGAUCCGAGCCAACCAUCCCACAUCACAAACUUUGGUUUGGGGGACUUUACGUUCGUUUAAUUUCUCAUUUUGUACGGAGAAAUAUUCUUUUCAAAAGCGUCUUUUGACUGAAGUAACUUUCCUGGUGCUGUUGUUAACUCGUUCCUUUUUUUAAUUUAUUCCCCCACCCCAGGCAGCCCUCCUGGUUCCUACUCACCCUCCCCCCCUCCCCCACCCUCCGUCCCAUCUGAACCAUUUGUUUCUUUUCUUUCCGUCAGAUUUUGGAAAAAUUCUCCUCUCCUCCCCGCCCCCUCCACACCAUCCUCCCCGAUUUAAAUAUAGUCACUGCUACAAGUAACAGAUGCACUGUGAAGAUUCCAGUAUUAAUAAAGGUGUACUGUAAUUAACACCCCUGCCUCUGCC
Molecule: long non-coding RNA, 491 nt
Filed under: Homo sapiens (human)
Lineage: Eukaryota; Metazoa; Chordata; Mammalia; Primates; Hominidae
Description: non-protein coding lnc-MTSS1L-1:1
Source: RNAcentral